GAACCUGCCCUUUGCACUGGGAUAGCCUCGGGAAACCGAGGUUAAUACCGGAUACUCCAUAUUUGUCGCAUGGCGAAUAUGGGAAAACUCCGGCGGCAAAGGAUGGGCCCGCGGCCUGCUAGCUAGUUGGUGGGGUAGUGGCCUACCAAGGCAAUGAUGGGUAGCCGGGUUGAGAGACCGACCGGCCAGAUUGGGACUGAGACACGGCCCAGACUCCUACGGGAGGCAGCAGAA
RNAcentral lists this ribosomal RNA (234 nucleotides) under uncultured Atopobium sp. Its description in RNAcentral is "partial 16S ribosomal RNA". It matches the Rfam family "Bacterial small subunit ribosomal RNA", at positions 122 to 354 of the family's 1533-position model. The record is from RNAcentral. Lineage: Bacteria; Bacillati; Actinomycetota; Coriobacteriia; Coriobacteriales; Atopobiaceae.